GAGUUUGAUCAUGGCUCAGAUUGAACGCUGGCGGCAGGCUUAACACAUGCAAGUCGAGCGGAAACGAUGGGAGCUUGCUCCCAGGCGUCGAGCGGCGGACGGGUGAGUAACGCGUAGGAAUCUACCCAGUAGUGGGGGAUAGCCCGGGGAAACUCGGAUUAAUACCGCAUACGCCCUACGGGGGAAAGGCCGGGAUCUUCGGACCGGUCGCUAUUGGAUGAGCCUGCGUUGGAUUAGCUAGUUGGUAGGGUAAAGGCCUACCAAGGCGACGAUCCAUAGCUGGUCUGAGAGGAUGAUCAGCCACACUGGAACUGAGACACGGUCCAGACUCCUACGGGAGGCAGCAGUGGGGAAUAUUGGACAAUGGGCGCAAGCCUGAUCCAGCCAUACCGCGUGUGUGAAGAAGGCCUUCGGGUUGUAAAGCACUUUAAGCAGGGAGAAAAAGUUAUAAGUUAAUACCUUAUAACCCUGAUGUUACCUGCAGAAUAAGCACCGGCUAAUUCCGUGCCAGCAGCCGCGGUAAUACGGAAGGUGCAAGCGUUAAUCGGAAUUACUGGGCGUAAAGCGCGCGUAGGUGGUUUGUUAAGUUGGAUGUGAAAGCCCUGGGCUCAACCUAGGAACUGCAUCCAAAACUAACUCACUAGAGUACGAUAGAGGGAGGUAGAAUUCAUAGUGUAGCGGUGGAAUGCGUAGAUAUUAUGAAGAAUACCAGUGGCGAAGGCGGCCUCCUGGAUCUGUACUGACACUGAGGUGCGAAAGCGUGGGUAGCGAACAGGAUUAGAUACCCUGGUAGUCCACGCCGUAAACGAUGACAACUAGCUGUUGGGAGACUAUGUCUUUCAGUGGCGCAGCUAACGCUUUAAGUUGUCCGCCUGGGGAGUACGGCCGCAAGGCUAAAACUCAAAUGAAUUGACGGGGACCCGCACAAGCGGUGGAGCAUGUGGUUUAAUUCGAUGCAACGCGAAAAACCUUACCUACUCUUGACAUACUUGGAGGCUCUUGUAAUGAGAGUGUGCCUUUUGGAACCAAGAUACAGGUGCUGCAUGGCUGUCGUCAGCUCGUGUCGUGAGAUGUUCCGUUAAGUCGGAUAACGAGCGCAACCCUUACCCUUAUUUGCCAGCGAUUCGGUCGGGAACUAUAAGGGGACUGCCGGUGAUAAACCGGAGGAAGGUGAGGACGACGUCAAGUCAUCAUGGCCCUUACGAGUAGGGCUACACACGUGCUACAAUGGGAGAUACAGACGGACGCUAAGCCGCGAGGUGGUGCUAAUCCUAAAAAGUCUUUCGUAGUCCGGAUUGGAGUCUGCAACUCGACUCCAUGAAGUCGGAAUCGCUAGUAAUCGCGGAUCAGCAUGCCGCGGUGAAUACGUUCUCGGGUCUUGUACACACCGCCCGUCACACCAUGGAAGUGGAUUGCACCAGAAGUAGAUAGUCUAACCUUAGGGAAGGCGUUUACCACGGUGUGCUUCAUGACUGGGGUGAAGUCGUAACAAGGUAACC
RNAcentral lists this ribosomal RNA (1499 nucleotides) under uncultured marine bacterium. RNAcentral describes it as "bacterial SSU rRNA". It matches the Rfam family "Bacterial small subunit ribosomal RNA". The record is from RNAcentral.